This 899-nucleotide ribosomal RNA is filed under the name uncultured bacterium. RNAcentral's name for it is "partial 16S ribosomal RNA". It matches the Rfam family "Bacterial small subunit ribosomal RNA", at positions 96 to 953 of the family's 1533-position model. The record is from RNAcentral.
CGGCGUACGGGUGAGUAACACGUGGGUAACCUGCCCUCGAGUCCGGGACACCCCCUCGAAAGGGGGGCUAAUACUGGAUACGUUCCUCGGGUCGCAAGAUCUGGGGAGGAAAGGUAGCUCGCAAGGGCUGCCGCUCGUGGAGGGGCUCGCGGCCUAUCAGCUAGUUGGUGGGGUAACGGCCUACCAAGGCGAUGACGGGUAGCUGGUCUGAGAGGACGACCAGCCACACGGGGACUGAGACACGGCCCCGACUCCUACGGGAGGCAGCAGUGGGGAAUCUUCCGCAAUGGGCGAAAGCCUGACGGAGUGACGCCGCGUGGGGGAAGAAGGCCUUCGGGUCGUAAACCCCUGUCAGAGGGAAAGAUGGGUGUCGGCGUGCACAGCGCCGGCAUCUGACGGUACCCUCAGAGGAAGCCCCGGCCAACUCUGUGCCAGCAGCCGCGGUAAGACAGAGGGGGCAAGCGUUGCUCGGAAUUACUGGGCGUAAAGGGCGUGUAGGCGGAGCGGCAAGUCGGUCGUGAAAGCCUCCGGCUCAACCGGAGAACGUCGAUCGAUACUGCCGCCCUUGAGGGUAGCAGAGGAGACUGGAAUUCCCGGUGUAGCGGUGAAAUGUGUAGAGAUCGGGAGGAACACCGGUGGCGAAGGCGGGUCUCUGGGCUACUCCUGACGCUGAGGCGCGAAAGCGUGGGGAGCAAACGGGAUUAGAUACCCCGGUAGUCCACGCUGUAAACGAUGGGCACUAGGGGGGGGGGGGGGGGGUAUAACACCUCUCUCCGGUGCCCGCACCUAACGGCAUUUAAGUUGCCCCGCCUGGGGGGAGUACGGGCCGCAAGGGUUGAAACUCAAGGGAAUUUGACGGGGGCCCGCACAGCGGUUGGAGAUUUUUGUGGUUCAAUUCG